Xenopus laevis (African clawed frog) is the source of this 1560-nucleotide long non-coding RNA. RefSeq lists it as uncharacterized. Lineage: Eukaryota; Metazoa; Chordata; Amphibia; Anura; Pipidae. The record is from RefSeq and is a predicted model, not a curated record. The transcript is spliced from 3 exons.
AGAACUUGGACAGCACUGAUCUAGAAAAUAGAAUACAUCUACAAAGAAGAAGUAAUGACCCUAGAUGGAGAUCUGAAUUACAGAAGGAUUCCUUAACUGGAAACCCCAAGACUCUGGAUGCUGACCAGAAAUGGAAAAUAAAAAAAACACUUUUAUUAUAUAUCUGGUGUACUUUCCCAUAACGGUGUCAUCCUACAACAUGAAGCUUUAUUUCUUUUAUGUCGUCUGACUCAUCAUUUUUCAAUUUUCUCUGACAAACGGGACAUUCUUGGAAGACAGAAUCAAAAAACAGAUGAAAACCAAAUCUGUGUUUUUUUUUAUCUGUUUAUAAUAUAGAGUGCCAUUGGUUGGAAAACAUUUAUAUCUCCAGGCACACAUCGAAUGACAUAUUCUAUUUCUUUAGCCUCUUCAACAUUGCACCUUUGUCCCCGUAAUAUAAUAUUUCCAGUUGGUAAAGGAAGAGACAUACUCUAACACAAUACAAGCUUAUCCUGUUCCCUAUCAUUUUCACCUAAUUCUUAUGAAUGUUCUGAGCAUGACAAAAACAUACAGGGAAGUUAUUUGACUCCUGAUGAAAAGCUGACCCUAAUGUGUGUGUGAAAGUAAUAUGGAUUCUAAGCUUGUACUGGGGCAGGGGCUUGUGUAAUUGAUGAACAAUCUAAGUAAUGUGCUGCACACACAUGCAGUGCCAUCCCGCCGGUGAUUUCCAACCUUGGGGCGACUUUGGAAAAUGAAGCGGUCCGAGUGCCAUCCCGCCGGUGAUUUAGAUUCUGCCCGCCGGGAAGGCUUUUCGGGGUGAUUAGUUGCCCGAAGAAGAGACGAUUUGUCGUGGGGCGACUAAAUGUCCCUGAAUCAUCAUUAUCUAUUUUUAAUCAUUUAUUAAAAUUUUCACAUUAAAGGAGUGGCUAGAGUAGCUAGAAGAAGAGUAACUGGGCUCAGAAACCCUGUAUAAGGAGAACAAGUUCAUGAAACACCAUUCCUGUAAUUAAAUAGAAAUAGAAAAAUUUACAAAUAAAUAGGAUAGUCUGGAUAGUAAGUCUGUCCAUAUGCCAAUGUCCAUUAUUGGCAGGUGGACUAAGUCUCUUUACUUCCAUUAAGGGCAGCUUGGGCCAGUGGCCUGAAAGAAACUGCACAAUAAACAAAAUCCAAACAUGUGGCCAACAGACUACUACCUAAUAACUCUAGGUGCAUGUACAAUAUUGCCACAAAUAGUACUAGAUGGCAAACUAAUUCAGUAGAUAUUGAGCAGGUAAUUAUUAAAAUCAAGUUAAGGUAGCCAUUCAUGCAAAGUAAAGCUGUCCGAAGACGUGCAGAUUAUUAAAUCAUUAUAUCAAAAUCCCAUAGAAAUUAAUGGAGAGUGGCGGAAUUUCACUCUAGAGGACGUCAGCAUGCUGUCUAGCAUGCUCAGACCUUUAGCAUAUGGGUAAAGGCAGCCAUUGUGAUAACCAUUGUGAUAACCACUGUGGUUGUCAUGGAAAUGAGGAAAAACCUCUAGAAUCGGAUUUAAAAGGGUUGUUCAUUUUUUAAUUAACUUUUAGGGGGUUAUUUAUCAAAGUCCAA